GGUAAGCUGUACCUGUCAGGUCCCCACAUCACUCCAUGAAUCAUCUUCUAGACAUCUUUCAAGUAGGCCAAAGCCCGAUGUGCCACCAACUUCGUUUAGCCUCUUUCGUUUCUAUGAUAAAUCAUAAAAAUUAGUUUUUUUAAGAAUGGGUGCUUCAUCGAUUUACCCGGUAUAUCCCAUAACUACAUCACGGAAUCUCAUGGCAGGGUCAACAAUCACCUCAAAAUCAUAAUGUGGUUGUCCUUAACGUCAAGCCAAACAUCAGUUGUUCUUCGAUCCGUUGCUGACGGCAACUUCAUAAUAUACGAGUGGCAUCAAUAGCAUCACAACAAUUUUAAAGCCUCUAAUAUUCUCAAAUUUGGAUUUCAUCUGUGUGAAUUCCUUGUAUGUUGUCAGCCAUUGGAGGUGGUGGAGGAGCCCACAUUGUUCAAUUAACAAACCAAACUUUCAAGUACUA
Molecule: long non-coding RNA, 457 nt
Filed under: Helianthus annuus (common sunflower)
Lineage: Eukaryota; Viridiplantae; Streptophyta; Magnoliopsida; Asterales; Asteraceae
Description: hypothetical non coding rna
Source: RNAcentral